Molecule: ribosomal RNA, 506 nt
Filed under: uncultured bacterium
Lineage: Bacteria
Description: partial 16S ribosomal RNA
Rfam family: Bacterial small subunit ribosomal RNA
Source: RNAcentral
AGUGAACGCUGGCGGUAGGCCUAACACAUGCAAGUCGAACGGCAGCACAGGAGAGCUUGCUCUCUGGGUGGCGAGUGGCGGACGGGUGAGGAAUACAUCGGAAUCUACUCUGUCGUGGGGGAUAACGUAGGGAAACUUACGCUAAUACCGCAUACGACCUACGGGUGAAAGCAGGGGACCUUCGGGCCUUGCGCGAUUGAAUGAGCCGAUGUCGGAUUAGCUAGUGGGCGGGGUAAAGGCCCACCAAGGCGACGAUCCGUAGCUGGUCUGAGAGGAUGAUCAGCCACACUGGAACUGAGACACGGUCCAGACUCCUACGGGAGGCAGCAGUGGGGAAUAUUGGACAAUGGGCGCAAGCCUGAUCCAGCCAUACCGCGUGGGUGAAGAAGGCCUUCGGGUUGUAAAGCCCUUUUGUUGGGAAAGAAAUCCAGCUGGCUAAUACCCGGUUGGGAUGACGGUACCCAAAGAAGAAGCCCCGGCUAACUUCGUGCCAGCCGCCGCCGUAA